This is a long non-coding RNA of Cotesia glomerata, 2605 nucleotides long. RefSeq lists it as uncharacterized. The record is from RefSeq and is a predicted model, not a curated record. The transcript is spliced from 8 exons. NCBI's taxonomy places the organism in Eukaryota, Metazoa, Arthropoda, Insecta, Hymenoptera, Braconidae.
AAAUGUUAAUAUUAUCGUAAAAAACUUAUAAAAGUUCUAACAAGUCUCGAAGAAUUUAAAUAGAAGUUUAAGAAAAAAAAAAAAAUUUCCAAACACGCCAGUAACUUUAAUACCAGUAACAAAUCCACUCCAUAAUAUACAAUCUACAAUAUUAUUAUAAGGAUAAACAAAGUUUAAAUAAGCGAACAAUUAGUAGACAAAAGCGUAGACGUAUUGUCCGUCAAUUUGUUUUAAAUUUCUUUGAUCGCAUUGUUUCGCGCCUACGAUCGCGGGCGUACCAGUAGACCAAGUAAAAGGGGAGACAUAAGUGCGUGGUCAGAGACUUUACUUGCUCAUUACUCUCUUUACUCCCAUGUACGUAAUACAUCUCAGCCCGACACUCGCUGGAUAAUUUAAUGACCAAUCAACUUGAUUUAAAGUCUUCAAUUCGCAAGGAGUAAAUUGGAUUUCCGGUUACUCUUCUCUGAAUACCAUCGAAAAUUGCCUCGCAUCUAUCCGCUCUUGUAUCUACAAUCUACGAUAAUAUCAAAUUUUAAUGAUACACGUUUUCAUGCUCGUACACGAGGAUAGGAAUCGAUUGCCCGCGGAGAAGAAGGGCAGUCUCAUUACACGGUUUUAUUUCCUCGGGAUUACCGAUAGAACCGUUCGGGAUCGAAUGCAUAUACAAACCACCAGCCCAGCAAAGCCAAAACAAAGCCCACUUAGCUGUCCUAAAUUUCUGCAAAUAAGAGGGCCUGAAAGAAAACCACCCGCACAAAGACUUGGACACCGACACUUGUGAAUCUAAUUGCUCUUCAGCUUUUAUUUCUUCCUUGAUGGUCGCCACAUCGUGCUCGACAAAUUUAGAGAAGAAAUCAAAGAAGACUAAAGAAUGUGCCAUUCUUUCCACUCAACCAAAAACUUACACUAAAUGAAAAUUUAUCGCGCAUCUUAAAAAGAAUAGCCUAAAAAAUCAGUAAAAAAAGCUUCGAUGACCAUCACUCUUUAUGUGGACAAAGCGAGUGAAGAAGACUAUGUUAACUGAACAACCCGUGAGACAUUAAGCCAACUCCUGAGAGAAAUACCCAGUCUUAAAUAAAAUUAAAAUAUAAAAAUUGAAAUGAAACUAAGAAGAUGUCUAGCUGGGUUUACUUAGCCCAGAGUAAACAGAAGGAAUGAAAAAAUAAAAAAAAAACAAAGAGCAACAAAGAAGCAAUAGUAAAGAAGAGAAGGGUAGAUGCCACGCGACUGUCCAUAAAUUUACCAGAAUUAAUACAAAGAUCUAUUGCUUCCGUUUUGCAUAUUAAUGAUUAUAUGUACACAGCUAUACAUAUGAAUAGGUGUAUACAAAGCCUGUUAUGUAAAUAUAUGACCCAUUGAGUAAAAAGAGGGAUUACGAGGAUGAGUAGGAUGAGGAGCGAGCGCGUGACAUAUACUCGUAGGUGGACCCUUUUAACUAAUUUAUCCGGACGGACUAUUAUAUAAACGAAUAUGUAAUUACGCUUUUUUUCAGAGAUAGCCGGAGCUUUUUUAUUUUUAUUUGCUUCAUUUUAUAAUUUUAGGUUGAUGGGCCCGGAGGCCGGAGGCUGAGUUUUAAAAACGCUCGUGCAAAUACCAAAUAGCAAUAGUGUGUAGGGUGACUUGCGGUUCGUUAUUUGCACUUUGAACGAGCAGCGGGGAUCGAGAUAGAGAGAAAAAUGAUAAAGUCGAAUUGUUGAACUUUGUCGUGUGUCGAGUUGAGAGUGGAGCAAAGGGUGCUUGCCUUGUUGCGUGGGCGUCGGAAUCAAACGUUAAUUGCCGUCUGCUUCGGAUAAUCGAUUUUCGAUCGUUAUACUCAAUCUCGCUGCUUUUAAUCGUGUUUCAUUUUUGACAGACUCACGGAUUUAUAAUGUCAAUUGUCAAAUUUUAUUCAUCAAACAUCCGCUUUUUUUUUUUUUACAAUUUAAUGAUUGACACAAAUAUUGAAGUAUUUAAAAGACUACUGCGCUAAUUACACGACAAUGCACCCCGAAGAUUCAAAAAAAUUCCCAAGCAUCUAUUCUCUUCUAUUAUAUCACUUUACUCCGACAAAAGUAGAGAACAGAGAGCCGAGCCAUCAGCAAAUGAACCGCCUGGAGUUUUACACAUAGCCGAUUCAAGGAGCUAUCCGAAACACUCAACCCGUAUUUAGAGCAACCAGCCAACGAUAUUUCUUCUCGCUCUACUCUAAAUUCCAGCAUCUACCAACAUAUUCAACACAUCCAGGCACGUAUAGCUUUUAAAUUAUUUAUACUUACUAUUUCUUCCGACAGCUCCAAUGCUGGGUUAUUUAUCCCCGCCAUUCUAGACCUAGAAGACAUAUUUGUUAACUUUUUAUUUAUUUAUUUAAAUAUUUAAAUAUCUAUUUAUUUAUUUAUUUAUAUAUUAGAUAGUGACUUGCGAGUCAAGGUUAGCUGAUAAGAUAACAAUUUAGCAGAUAAAUAAUAAUUUAAAAUAUAAUAAUAAUCAUUUCAUGUCUGCAACAGUACACAUACUCGGUUUAUUUAACAGGAUAAUCAUCACUCAUCACUUUCGAUUUAUUUAUGUACUUUAAAGAGCUGCAAUUAUUUUUUUUUAUUAUUAAACUCUUGUCUGGUCAUAAAUUAAU